This 331-nucleotide unclassified non-coding RNA is filed under the name soil metagenome. RNAcentral's name for it is "partial contains 5.8S ribosomal RNA, internal transcribed spacer 2, and large subunit ribosomal RNA". The stretch from base 1 to 120 matches the Rfam family "5.8S ribosomal RNA", at positions 35 to 154 of the family's 154-position model. The record is from RNAcentral.
GAUGAAGAACGUAGCGAAAUGCGAUAAGUAAUGUGAAUUGCAGAAUUCAGUGAAUCAUCGAAUCUUUGAACGCACAUUGCGCCCCCUGGUAUUCCGGGGGGCAUGCCUGUUCGAGCGUCAUUUCACCACUCAAGCCUCGCUUGGUAUUGGGCAACGCGGUCCGCCGCGUGCCUCAAAUCGUCCGGCUGGGUCUUCUGUCCCCUAAGCGUUGUGGAAACUAUUCGCUAAAGGGUGUUCGGGAGGCUACGCCGUAAAACAACCCCAUUUCUCAGGUUGACCUCGGAUCAGGUAGGGAUACCCGCUGAACUUAAGCAUAUCAAUAAGCGGAGGA